AUGUGAUAGCAAGGGCUGGGCAAGACCGGUGCCAGCCGCCGCGGUAACACCGGCAGCCCGAGUGGUGAUCACUAUUAUUGGGUCUAAAGGGUCCGUAGCCGGUUUAAUCAGUCUUCUGGGAAAUCUAAUCGCUUAACUAUUAGGCUUCCAGGGGAUACUGUUAGACUUGGGACCGGGAGAGGUAAGAGGUACUGCAGGGGUAGGAGUGAAAUCUUGUAAUCCCUGUGAGACCACCAGUGGCGAAGGCGUCUUACCAGAACGGGUCCGACGGUGAGGGACGAAAGCUGGGGGCACGAACCGGAUUAGAUACCCGGGUAGCCCCAGCUGUAAACGAUGCUCGUUAGGUGUCAGGAACGGUGCGACUGUUUCUGGUGCCGAAGGGAAGCCGUGAAACGAGCCACCUGGGAAGUACGGCCGCAAGGCUGAAACUUAAAGGAAUUGGCGGGGGAGCACUACAACGGGUGGAGCCUGCGGUUUAAUUGGACUCAACGCCGGAAAACUCACCGGGGGCGACAGCAAUAUGUAGGUCAGGUUAAAGGUCUUACCUGAAUCGCUGAGAGGAGGUGCAUGGCCGUCGUCAGUUCGUACUGUGAAGCAUCCUGUUAAGUCAGGCAACGAGCAAGACCCGUGCCCACUGUUACCAGCAUAUCCUUUAUGGAUGAUGGGGACUCUGUGGGGACCGCUGCUGCUAAAGCAGAGGAAGGUGCGGGCUACGGUAGGUCAGUAUGCCCCGAAUCUCCCGGGCUACACGCGGGCUACAAUGGUUGGGACAAUGGGUAUCUACUCCGAAAGGAGUUGGCAAUCUCUUAAACCCAAUCGUAGUUCGAAUUGAGGGCUGUAACUCGCCCUCAUGAAGCUGGAAUCCGUAGUAAUCGCGUUUCAACAUAGCGCGG
Molecule: ribosomal RNA, 893 nt
Filed under: uncultured archaeon
Lineage: Archaea
Description: bacterial SSU rRNA
Rfam family: Archaeal small subunit ribosomal RNA
Source: RNAcentral